Molecule: long non-coding RNA, 780 nt
Organism: Chinchilla lanigera (long-tailed chinchilla)
Lineage: Eukaryota; Metazoa; Chordata; Mammalia; Rodentia; Chinchillidae
Exons: 3
Source: RefSeq, a predicted model, not a curated record
AUUAUGAGCCCAACAUAACCUAUUGAUGAGAUCAGAGCCUUGAGAUCUGAUGAUCCAAUCCCAAGAGUCCCACCCACCUCUGAACAUUGCUGGAGUGGACGACAAACCUUCAACAUAUGCGACUUUGAGACAUUUCUGAUCCAAACCAUAAAGGUGAGCGGCUUUCCUCCGCCAUGCCCUUCCCCCAUGAUGGUUCUGCGUUGGAACCAGGUGACCGUGGACAGAAACCUCUGAAACCGUGAGCUGAAACACAUCUUUUCUGCUCCACAAGACCAAGACCAAGACGGAAGUUGACCCUUCAGCCUGCAUUGCAGAGGGAGGCCUCCUCACUGUCAGUGUGUGCCAGCAAGCAAUACAAGUUCUAUGCUGAAAAGCACUAGGAUCUUGGAGGCCUUUUGUUAUUGCAACAGAGUUUUGCCUAAGAUGAUACGUGCAGAUAGUGGGCCCAGAGAUGUGGUGCUGAUCUAACAGCAAUCCCAUAGUAGAUCUGUAACAGUUACCUACAAGAAAAACGGACACUGCGAUCUUGUGGCUUUCAGCAAGAUGCAGGAGAACUAAAGGUCGGAAACAUGAGUUUACUUCUGUAGCUCCCUUGAGACCAGGGACUGUGAAAAUAUGAGCUCAGAAAAAGGAUUUCCAUUUCAAGAGCAGAACUGAAAGGGAAAUAUGGGAAAUGCAGAAAUUCCACAGAUGGAAAGUCAGAACUGGGCAUAAAGAGGAUGAUGAAAUAAGGAGAACAGUGGCCGGGCGUGGUGGCACACGCCUGUAAUCCCAGCACUU